RNAcentral lists this non-coding RNA (26 nucleotides) under Homo sapiens (human). Lineage: Eukaryota; Metazoa; Chordata; Mammalia; Primates; Hominidae. The record is from RNAcentral.
CUGGAACCUUUACACACUGAUGAUGA